GCCAGGCAUGGUGGCGCAUGCCUGUAGUCCCAGCUACUCGGGAGGCUGAGGUGGAAGGAUCACUUGAGCCCAGGAGGUGGAGGUUGCAGUGAGCUGAGAUCGCACCACUGCACUCCACCCUGGGCCAUAGAGUGAGAUCCUGUCUAAA
Molecule: non-coding RNA, 148 nt
Filed under: Macaca nemestrina (pig-tailed macaque)
Lineage: Eukaryota; Metazoa; Chordata; Mammalia; Primates; Cercopithecidae
Source: Rfam by way of RNAcentral